Molecule: ribosomal RNA, 407 nt
Filed under: uncultured bacterium
Lineage: Bacteria
Description: partial 16S ribosomal RNA
Rfam family: Bacterial small subunit ribosomal RNA
Source: RNAcentral
AUUGAACGCUGGCGGCAGGCCUAACACAUGCAAGUCGAGCGGAGCGGCGGACGGGUGAGUAAUGCCUAGGAAUCUGCCUGGUAGUGGGGGAUAACGUCAGGAAACGGGCGCUAAUACCGCAUACCAUCAGCUGAGCCUAGGUGGGAUUAGCCAGUGGGUGGGGUAAAGGCCUACCAAGGGGACGAUCCGUACCUGGUCUGAGAGGAUGAUCAGUCACACUGGAACUGAUACACGGUCCAGACGCCUACGGGAGGCAGCGGUGGGAAAUAUUGGACAAGUGGCGAAGGCCUGAUCCAGCCCGGCCGCUUGUGUGAAGAGGGUCGUCGGAUUGUAAAGCACUUUAAGUUGGGAGGCGUUACCGACAGAAUAAGCACCGGCUAACGCCGUGCCAGCAGCCGCGGUAAUUC